This 781-nucleotide ribosomal RNA is filed under the name Staphylococcus cohnii. RNAcentral's name for it is "bacterial SSU rRNA". It matches the Rfam family "Bacterial small subunit ribosomal RNA", at positions 42 to 803 of the family's 1533-position model. Lineage: Bacteria; Bacillati; Bacillota; Bacilli; Caryophanales; Staphylococcaceae. The record is from RNAcentral.
GUAUGUUCGGCAUCUAUCUGCAGUCGAGCGACAGAUAAGGAGCUUGCUCCUUUGACGUUAGCGGGGAGGGGAGUAACACGUGGGUAACCUACCUAUAAGACUGGAAAACUCCGGGAAACCGGGGCUAAUGCCGGAUAACAUUUAGAACCGCAUGGUUCUAAAGUGAAAGAUGGUUUUGUUCUCACUUAUAGAUGGACCCGCGCCGUAUUAGCUAGUUGGUAAGGUAACGGCUUACCAAGGCAACGAUACGUAGCCGACCUGAGAGGGUGAUCGGCCACACUGGAACUGAGACACGGUCCAGACUCCUACGGGAGGCAGCAGUAGGGAAUCUUCCGCAAUGGGCGAAAGCCUGACGGAGCAACGCCGCGUGAGUGAUGAAGGUCUUCGGAUCGUAAAACUCUGUUAUUAGGGAAGAACAAAUGUGUAAGUAACUAUGCACGUCUUGACGGUACCUAAUCAGAAAGCCACGGCUAACUACGUGCCAGCAGCCGCGGUAAUACGUAGGUGGCAAGCGUUAUCCGGAAUUAUUGGGCGUAAAGCGCGCGUAGGCGGUUUCUUAAGUCUGAUGUGAAAGCCCACGGCUCAACCGUGGAGGGUCAUUGGAAACUGGGAAACUUGAGUGCAGAAGAGGAAAGUGAAUUCCAUGUGUAGCGGUGAAAUGCGCAGAGAUAUGGAGGAACACCAGUGGCGAAGCGACUUUUCUGGUCUGUAACUGACGCUGAUGUGCGAAAGCGUGGGGGAUCAAAACAGGAUUAGAAACCGCGUGUGAGAGACUCACAAA